AAUGGGGGAUAACGUAGCGAAAGUUACGCUAAUACCGCAUAUGCCCUGAGGGGGAAAGUGGGGGAUCGCAAGACCUCACGUUUUCGGAGCGGCCGAUAUCGGAUUAGCUAGUAGGUUGGGUAAAGGCUGACCUAGGCGACGAUCCGUAGCUGGUCUGAGAGGACGACCAGCCACACUGGGACUGAGACACGGCCCAGACUCCUACGGGAGGCAGCAGUGGGGAAUUUUGGACAAUGGGGGCAACCCUGAUCCAGCCAUGCCGCGUGAGUGAAGAAGGCCUUCGGGUUGUAAAGCUCUUUCGGACAGAAAGAAAUCGCCAUUCCUAAUACGAGUGGUGGAUGACGGUACUGUAAGAAGAAGCACCGGCUAACUACGUGCCAGCAGCCGCGGUAAUACGUAGGGUGCGAGCGUUAAUCGGAAUUACUGGGCGUAAAGCGUGCGCAGGCGGUUUUGUAAGACAGGCGUGAAAUCCCCGGGCUUAACCUGGGAACUGCGUUUGUGACUGCAAAGCUAGAGUGUAGCAGAGGGGGGUAGAAUUCCA
This 541-nucleotide ribosomal RNA is filed under the name uncultured Gallionellaceae bacterium. RNAcentral describes it as "bacterial SSU rRNA". It matches the Rfam family "Bacterial small subunit ribosomal RNA", at positions 135 to 671 of the family's 1533-position model. The record is from RNAcentral. Lineage: Bacteria; Pseudomonadati; Pseudomonadota; Betaproteobacteria; Nitrosomonadales; Gallionellaceae.